Long non-coding RNA from Ostrinia furnacalis (Asian corn borer), 438 nucleotides. RefSeq lists it as uncharacterized. The record is from RefSeq and is a predicted model, not a curated record. The transcript is spliced from 2 exons. Lineage: Eukaryota; Metazoa; Arthropoda; Insecta; Lepidoptera; Crambidae.
CUCUCCCAUGAUCUCUCCUGCCUGGCUCUUACCCAUCUAUCUACAUCAUGGUGCACUGAUUGGCAAAAUUCGAGGAGACUAGCGGGCAAAUAUUAUUUUGAUAUUCAAAGAGAAAUCCCUAGCCGUCCAUGGUUUUUUAAACACCAUCACCUACCCAAAAAAGUAGUUUCUGUCAUUUGUCGUCUCCGUUUGGGUCAUGCAUGUACUCCAGUUCACCUAAACAAAAUUCGAGUGAAAGAUAGUUCGCUCUGCGAAUGCGGCUUGGACGAAGGCUCUGCUGACCACAUAUUUUUUAACUGUCCCAGGGUGUGCACGCUAGACUAUACCUAAUAGCACUCAACCCCAAGGUUUAUAACUUCAUAUACCGUGUAAUGGCUAUGCUCACGUGACAUUGGCAAACGUGGAAACACAGUAGCCAUAGAGGAGAAGAAGAAGAAG